GAUGAACGCUGGCGGCGUGCCUAAUACAUGCAAGUCGAGCGAAGCGGGGACGGGUGAGUAACACGUGGAUAACCUCCUAUAAGACUGGGAUAAACUCGGGAAACCGGAGCUAAACCCGAAUCUUAUAGAUGGAGCCGCGCUGCAUUAGCUAGUUGGUAAGGUAACGGCUUACAAAGGCAACGAUCCAUCGCCGACCUGAGAGGAUGAGCGGCCACACUGGAACUGAGACACGGUCCAGACUCCUACGGGAGGCAGCAGUGGGGAAUCUUGCGCAAUGGGCGAAAGCCUGACGGAGCAACGCCGCGUGUGUGAUGAAGGUCUUCGGAUCGUAAAGCUCUUUUAUUAGGGAAGCGGUACCUGAUCAGAAAGCAACGGCUAACUACGUGCCAGCAGCCGCGGUAAUAC
Molecule: ribosomal RNA, 405 nt
Filed under: uncultured bacterium
Lineage: Bacteria
Description: partial 16S ribosomal RNA
Rfam family: Bacterial small subunit ribosomal RNA
Source: RNAcentral